UCCUUACCGGGAAGAGCAGUAGGGAAUCUUCCACAAUGGGCGAAAGCCUGAUGGAGCAACGCCGCGUGAGUGAAGAAGGUUUUCGGAUCGUAAAACUCUGUUGUAAGGGAAGAACAAGUACAGUAGUAACUGGCUGUACCUUGACGGUACCUUAUUAGAAAGCCACGGCUAACUACGUGCCAGCAGCCGCGGUAAUACGUAGGUGGCAAGCGUUGUCCGGAAUUAUUGGGCGUAAAGCGCGCGCAGGCGGUCCUUUAAGUCUGAUGUGAAAGCCCACGGCUCAACCGUGGAGGGUCAUUGGAAACUGGGGGACUUGAGUGCAGAAGAGGAAAGUGGAAUUCCAAGUGUAGCGGUGAAAUGCGUAGAGAUUUGGAGGAACACCAGUGGCGAAGGCGACUUUCUGGUCUGUAACUGACGCUGAGGCGCGAAAGCGUGGGGAGCAAACAGGAUUAGAUACCCUGGUAGUCCACGCCGUAAACGAUGAGUGCUAAGUGUUAGGGGGUUUCCGCCCCUUAGUGCUGCAGCUAACGCAUAAGCACUCCGCAUUGGGGA
Molecule: ribosomal RNA, 552 nt
Filed under: Lysinibacillus fusiformis
Lineage: Bacteria; Bacillati; Bacillota; Bacilli; Caryophanales; Bacillaceae
Description: bacterial SSU rRNA
Rfam family: Bacterial small subunit ribosomal RNA
Source: RNAcentral